UACGUAGGGUGCGAGCGUUAAUCGGAAUUACUGGGCGUAAAGCGUGCGCAGGCGGUUUUGUAAGCCAGAUGUGAAAUCCCCGGGCUUAACCUGGGAAUGGCAUUCAAAACUGCACGGCUAGAGUAUUGGAGAGGAAGGUAGAAUUCCAGGUGUAGCGGUGAAAUGCGUAGAGAUCUGGAGGAAUACCGAUGGCGAAGGCAGCCUUCUGGCCAAAUACUGACGCUGAGGUGCGAAAGCAUGGGGAGCAAACAGG
This 253-nucleotide ribosomal RNA is filed under the name uncultured bacterium. RNAcentral describes it as "partial 16S ribosomal RNA". It matches the Rfam family "Bacterial small subunit ribosomal RNA", at positions 524 to 776 of the family's 1533-position model. The record is from RNAcentral.